UAGCCCUGUAGUGAAUUAUCAUAUUGAAUUGCAAAUUCAAAGAAGCAGCUUCAAUUCUGCCGGGGCUUC
RNAcentral lists this transfer RNA (69 nucleotides) under Sorex araneus (European shrew). RNAcentral's name for it is "tRNA-Cys". It matches the Rfam family "tRNA". From Rfam's summary of the family: Transfer RNA (tRNA) molecules are approximately 80 nucleotides in length. Their secondary structure includes four short double-helical elements and three loops (D, anti-codon, and T loops). The record is from RNAcentral. Lineage: Eukaryota; Metazoa; Chordata; Mammalia; Eulipotyphla; Soricidae.